RNAcentral lists this transfer RNA (87 nucleotides) under alpha proteobacterium BAL199. It matches the Rfam family "tRNA". Rfam says of the family: Transfer RNA (tRNA) molecules are approximately 80 nucleotides in length. Their secondary structure includes four short double-helical elements and three loops (D, anti-codon, and T loops). Further hydrogen bonds mediate the characteristic L-shaped molecular structure. tRNAs have two regions of fundamental functional importance: the anti-codon, which is responsible for specific mRNA codon recognition, and the 3' end, to which the tRNAs corresponding amino acid is attached (by aminoacyl-tRNA synthetases). tRNAs cope with the degeneracy of the genetic code in two manners: having more than one tRNA (with a specific anti-codon) for a particular amino acid; and 'wobble' base-pairing, i.e. permitting non-standard base-pairing at the 3rd anti-codon position. The record is from Rfam by way of RNAcentral. Lineage: Bacteria; Pseudomonadati; Pseudomonadota; Alphaproteobacteria.
GGAGGGGUGGCCGAGUGGUUGAAGGCGCACGCCUGGAAAGUGUGUAGGGGUGAAAGCCUCUCGCGGGUUCGAAUCCCGCUCCCUCCG